RNAcentral lists this transfer RNA (64 nucleotides) under Acheta domesticus (house cricket). RNAcentral's name for it is "tRNA-His". The record is from RNAcentral. Lineage: Eukaryota; Metazoa; Arthropoda; Insecta; Orthoptera; Gryllidae. RNAcentral also lists the same sequence under 1 other name.
ACUCAAUUAGUUUAAUUAAGAAUAUUGGUUUGUGAUAUCAAAGGUAUAUUAUUUAUAUUGGGUU